Podarcis raffonei (Aeolian wall lizard) is the source of this 1499-nucleotide long non-coding RNA. RefSeq lists it as uncharacterized. Lineage: Eukaryota; Metazoa; Chordata; Lepidosauria; Squamata; Lacertidae. The transcript is spliced from 2 exons. The record is from RefSeq and is a predicted model, not a curated record.
AAGCAUGUCAAAGUGCAAGUAGAUAAAUAGGUACUGCUCCGGCAGGAAGAUAAACAGCAUUUCCGUGCACUGCUCUGGUUCGCCAGAAGUGGCUUAGGCAUGCUGGCCACAUGACCCGGAAGCUGUACGGCCAAUAAAGCGAGAUGAGUGGCGCAACCCCAGAGUCGGUCACAACUGGACCUAAUGGUCAGGGGUCCCUUUACCUUUAAGUGUCUCCUUACGGUUCAGCAGUUCUCAACCUGUGGGUCCCCAGAUGUUGUUGGACUACAACUCCCAUCAUCCCUGAGCUUUGGCCUUGCUAGCUGGGGGUGAUGGGAGUUGUAGUUCAACAACAUCUGGGGACCCACAGGUUGAGAAAGGCUGGGUUAGAUGAAUAUCAUUCUUAGGGGAAUCGGUGCCUUUUCACUUGUUCAUAAUUCUGGGCGGAAUUAAGCCCCCAAAAUGGAAUAAGUCACUCUUAUGUCUCUUAUAAGACCUUCAGGUGAAGAGUGGAUUAUAAAUGCUUGUAGAAAGAAAGAAAAAAUGAAUAAAUCUAUCAGAUGUGCUUGUGGUUUUCUCCUUUCAGAUGUGGAAUCCAUUCCACAUAUAUGAGGGUUUUCUUGUCCAGAGCUGCCCUCUCAUUGCAGGGAAUGGAAAAGUCUACUCUGACGGGAGCUUUGUCUGCAUAAGGACUUCUAGGUUGGAGCAAGACAAGAUGUAAGUUCUACAUAGCACAGCUAUGGAAGCCAGACUAGGUCUGGAGAGAUCCAGGUUCAGAUUCCCCGCUUUGUCAUAAAACUCAACAUUGCUCAGCCCAACCUAGCUCAGAGGGUUGUGUGAAGAUAAAAUUGGGGCAAGCAUUGAGCUGAGAAAGCACAGGGAAAUGUGAGAAGACACGUUGGGAUAUUUCAGUAUGAAUUCGUUCACACACAGCAUUGCUUUUGGACCUAGCGCAAUGCCCUGUCUCCUUAUGUCUUCAUUCAAAUGCUGAAUCUUGUACAUGCUCCAGGCAGUUCUUACUUCAAUAUGCUGAUUUAGGGCAGUGCUUCUUUCCCUUGGUUUGAUGGUAACACUACCAUAUGUCUUGGGUAUUCCUGGUGCCCUCUCCUCUAUCCCCACAUCUCUCUUAUCACCAGUCUCAGAAGAAGAAUUCACAUUACAUUAAAUUGCAAGGCAGUGCUGAAGCAGUCCGUUGAAAUUACUGGAGCCACACUGCGACUGAUUUGAAAGUGAAACAUCUGUGGUGAACAAGGAGGGUGGAAAUCAGCAGCUCAGUAGGGGACUCAGUUUUUGUUUUAUUUUUAAAUCUCUAUGCUGUUCGAGGCCCUGGGGGGUGGAAUUCUGCAAUUCAAAUGUAAAGGAGCAGAAAAAAUGUCUAUUUAUUUCAAAUGAAAUAUAUGUAACCCUGAAACACAUGUAUAUUGGGGUAUGUGCACGAAAUGAUGUUUGACGGACGAAAAUAAAGGGAGUGUGUGCCUUUAGCUGGGGCUAAGCAAUACAGCACAUGAUUUCAUCCAUGA